RNAcentral lists this long non-coding RNA (466 nucleotides) under Theobroma cacao (cacao). Its description in RNAcentral is "long non-coding RNA (TCAC_LNC001268)". The record is from RNAcentral. Lineage: Eukaryota; Viridiplantae; Streptophyta; Magnoliopsida; Malvales; Malvaceae.
GGUAUUCGUUGAGCCUUUAGCCGACUCUUAAUCCCUCUAAUGAUCCAAUUGGGGUGAUGGGGCUUCGUUAGUACCUACCAUCAAAUUAACAUUUCCAUAAUGUCAAUUUACAUACUAUAAACCCUAAAAGCUAUUUUUUAGCUAGCUUUCAAUUGCCAUUUAAAUGGCCAUCCAUCAUCACUUUCCUAUCACUCCAUAGUGAAUUAAUAAUGUCAACUACAAAAUAUUCACAAAUCAAAUCUCUAGUCAUUCUCAACACUUAAAACCCAAUACUAGUUUACUACUCACCUUAAUAGAUUUGUAACUUUGAACUUCUUUCCAAAAGCUCUCAAGCUAUUAAUAAAGCUUCCUCUUUCUCUCUCUAAAACACCUAACUAGUGAGAGAGUAUGGAAACAAGAUUUUCAUCAUUUUCAAGGGUUUUAAAGUGAGAGAGUGGAAAAAUACAAGGGUUCUAGUCAAAAGGGC